RNAcentral lists this ribosomal RNA (253 nucleotides) under uncultured bacterium. RNAcentral describes it as "partial 16S ribosomal RNA". It matches the Rfam family "Bacterial small subunit ribosomal RNA", at positions 524 to 776 of the family's 1533-position model. The record is from RNAcentral.
UACGUAGGGUGCGAGCGUUGUCCGGAAUUAUUGGGCGUAAAGAGCUCGUAGGCGGCUUGUCGCGUCGGAUGUGAAAGCCCGGGGCUUAACUCCGGGUCUGCAUUCGAUACGGGCAGGCUAGAGUUCGGUAGGGGAGAUCGGAAUUCCUGGUGUAGCGGUGAAAUGCGCAGAUAUCAGGAGGAACACCAGCGGCGAAGGCGGCGAUCUGGGCCAGUACUGACGCUGAGGAGCGAAAGCGUGGGGAGCGAACAGG